AGAGUUUGAUCAUGGCUCAGGACGAACGCUGGCGGCGUGCUUAACUCAUGCAAGUCAAGGGGGCCCGCAAGGGCAACCGGCGAACGGGUGCGUAACACGUGAGCAACCUGCCCAUCUGUGGGGGAUAGCCGGUCCAACGACCGGGUAAUACCGCAUACGUUCACCUAGGGGCAUCCCCGGGUGAGGAAAGCCUUCGGGCGCAGGUGGAGGGGCUCGCGGCCUAUCAGCUAGUUGGUGGGGUAACGGCCUACCAAGGCAACGACGGGUAGCUGGUCUGAGAGGAUGGCCAGCCACAUUGGGACUGCGACACGGCCCAGACUCCUACGGGAGGCAGCAGUGGGGAAUCUUGCGCAAUGGCCGAAAGGCUGACGCAGCGACGCCGCGUGUGGGAUGAAGCUCUUCGGGGUGUAAACCACUGUUGCCCGGGACGAACGGGCGGAUUAAUCCGCCGUGACGGUACCGGGUGAGGAAGCACCGGCUAACUCCGUGCCAGCAGCCGCGGUAAUACGGAGGGUGCGAGCGUUGUCCGGAAUCACUGGGCGUAAAGGGCGCGUAGGCGGCUCGGUAAGCGUGUGGUGAAAGCUCGGGGCUCAACCCCGAGUCGGCCGUGCGAACUGUCGAGCUGGAGCACUGUAGAGGCAGGUGGAAUUCCGGGUGUAGCGGUGGAAUGCGUAGAGAUCCGGAGGAACGCCGGUGGCGAAGGCGGCCUGCUGGGCAGUUGCUGACGCUGAGGCGCGACAGCGUGGGGAGCAAACAGGAUUAGAUACCCUGGUAGUCCACGCCGUAAACGAUGGGCACUAGGUGCUUGCGGGAGCGAGCCCGUGAGUGCCGGCGCUAACGCAUUAAGUGCCCCGCCUGGGGAGUACGGCCGCAUGGCUGAACUCAAAGGAAUUGACG
RNAcentral lists this ribosomal RNA (897 nucleotides) under uncultured bacterium. RNAcentral's name for it is "bacterial SSU rRNA". It matches the Rfam family "Bacterial small subunit ribosomal RNA", at positions 8 to 915 of the family's 1533-position model. The record is from RNAcentral.